GGGGCUGUAGCUCAGUUGGCCAGAGCGCGUGACUGGCAGUCACGAGGCCGGGGGUUCGAGUCCCCCCAGCUCCA
This 74-nucleotide transfer RNA is filed under the name Solirubrobacterales bacterium. RNAcentral describes it as "tRNA-Ala". It matches the Rfam family "tRNA". From Rfam's summary of the family: Transfer RNA (tRNA) molecules are approximately 80 nucleotides in length. Their secondary structure includes four short double-helical elements and three loops (D, anti-codon, and T loops). Lineage: Bacteria; Bacillati; Actinomycetota; Thermoleophilia; Solirubrobacterales. The record is from RNAcentral. RNAcentral also lists the same sequence under 2 other names.